UCCUUGGUGGCUCUGUGGUAAAGAAUCUGCUUGCCAGUGCAGGAGACCCAGGUUCAAUCCCUGGUCUGGGAA
Molecule: transfer RNA, 72 nt
Filed under: Ovis aries (sheep)
Lineage: Eukaryota; Metazoa; Chordata; Mammalia; Artiodactyla; Bovidae
Rfam family: tRNA
About the family: Transfer RNA (tRNA) molecules are approximately 80 nucleotides in length. Their secondary structure includes four short double-helical elements and three loops (D, anti-codon, and T loops).
Source: Rfam by way of RNAcentral